This 509-nucleotide ribosomal RNA is filed under the name uncultured bacterium. Its description in RNAcentral is "bacterial SSU rRNA". It matches the Rfam family "Bacterial small subunit ribosomal RNA", at positions 36 to 518 of the family's 1533-position model. The record is from RNAcentral.
CUGGCGGCGUGCCUAAUACAUGCAAGUCGAACGGUCUUUCUAUGGAAGCAUGCUUCACUGAGAAGAUAGUGGCGAACGGGUGAGUAACACGUGGGUAACCUGCCCAUAAGAGGGGGAUAACAUCCGGAAACGGGUGCUAAUACCGCAUAGUUUUCUUGAUUGCAUGAUUGAGAAAGGAAAGACGGCCUUUGUGCUGUCGCUUAUGGAUGGACCCGCGGCGUAUUAGUUAGUUGGUGAGGUAACGGCUCACCAAGACGAUGAUACGUAGCCGACCUGAGAGGGUGAUCGGCCACAUUGGGACUGAGACACGGCCCAAACUCCUACGGGAGGCAGCAGUAGGGAAUCUUCCGCAAUGGACGAAAGUCUGACGGAGCAACGCCGCGUGAGUGAAGAAAAGGUUUUCGGAUCGUAAAACUCUGUUGUCAGAGAAGAACAAGUUGGAGAGUAACUGCUCCAGCCUUGACGGUAUCUGACCAGAAAGCCACGGCUAACUACGUGCCAGCCGCUGC